GGGCGUUUGGCACAGUGGUAGCGCGCACGCUUUGCAUCACGAAUUGCGUGAGGUCCAGGGUUCAAGCCCCUGAACGUCCA
Trametes meyenii is the source of this 80-nucleotide non-coding RNA. NCBI's taxonomy places the organism in Eukaryota, Fungi, Basidiomycota, Agaricomycetes, Polyporales, Polyporaceae. The record is from the annotation of a GenBank genome assembly.